UACGUAGGGUGCAAGCGUUGUCCGGAUUUAUUGGGCGUAAAGAGCUCGUAGGCGGUCUGUCGCGUCGGAUGUGAAAACCCAGGGCUCAACCCUGGGCCUGCAUUCGAUACGGGCAGACUAGAGUGUGGCAGGGGAGACUGGAAUUCCUGGUGUAGCGGUGGAAUGCGCAGAUAUCAGGAGGAACACCGGUGGCGAAGGCGGGUCUCUGGGCAGUAACUGACGCUGAGGAGCGAAAGCGUGGGGAGCGAACAGG
This 253-nucleotide ribosomal RNA is filed under the name uncultured bacterium. RNAcentral's name for it is "partial 16S ribosomal RNA". It matches the Rfam family "Bacterial small subunit ribosomal RNA", at positions 524 to 776 of the family's 1533-position model. The record is from RNAcentral.